GUGGGGAAUAUUGGACAAUGGGGGAAACCCUGAUCCAGCGACGCCGCGUGAGUGAAGAAGUAUUUCGGUAUGUAAAGCUCUAUCAGCAGGGAAGAAAAUGACGGUACCUGACUAAGAAGCCCCGGCUAACUACGUGCCAGCAGCCGCGGUAAUACGUAGGGGGCAAGCGUUAUCCGGAUUUACUGGGUGUAAAGGGAGCGUAGACGGCACUGCAAGUCUGGGGUGAAAGCCCGGGGCUCAACCCCGGGACUGCUUUGGAAACUGUGGUGCUGGAGUGCAGGAGAGGUAAGUGGAAUUCCUAGUGUAGCGGUGAAAUGCGUAGAUAUUAGGAGGAACACCAGUGGCGAAGGCGGCUUACUGGACUGUAACUGACGCUGAGGCGCGAAAGUGUGGGGAGCAAACAGGAUUAGAAACCCUGGUAGUCC
This 425-nucleotide ribosomal RNA is filed under the name uncultured bacterium. RNAcentral's name for it is "partial 16S ribosomal RNA". It matches the Rfam family "Bacterial small subunit ribosomal RNA", at positions 354 to 796 of the family's 1533-position model. The record is from RNAcentral.